RNAcentral lists this ribosomal RNA (1387 nucleotides) under uncultured Desulfatibacillum sp. RNAcentral's name for it is "bacterial SSU rRNA". It matches the Rfam family "Bacterial small subunit ribosomal RNA", at positions 28 to 1382 of the family's 1533-position model. Lineage: Bacteria; Pseudomonadati; Thermodesulfobacteriota; Desulfobacteria; Desulfobacterales; Desulfatibacillaceae. The record is from RNAcentral.
AAUGAACGCUGGCGGCGUGCUUAACACAUGCAAGUCGUACGAGAAAUCUUUGGGCUUGCUCGAAGAGAGUAAAGUGGCGCACGGGUGAGUAACGCGUGGGUAAUUUGCCUUCAAAUUGGGGAUAACGUGCCGAAAGGCGUGCUAAUACCGGAUAAAAUCUUAUUGACUUUGGUUGAUGAGAUCAAAGGUGGCCUAUUCAAGAAAGCUACUGUUUGGAGAUAAGCCCGCGUACCAUUAGCUAGUUGGCAGGGUAAAGGCCUACCAAGGCGACGAUGGUUAGCUGGUCUGAGAGGAUGACCAGCCACACUGGAACUGACACACGGUCCAGACUCCUACGGGAGGCAGCAGUGAGGAAUUUUGCGCAAUGGGCGAAAGCCUGACGCAGCAACGCCGCGUGAGUGAUGAAGGCCUUCGAGUCGUAAAGCUCUGUCAAGUGGGAAGAAAGUGUAUGAGUCGAACAGGCUUAUGUAUUGACGGUACCACUGAAGGAAGCACCGGCUAACUCCGUGCCAGCAGCCGCGGUAAUACGGAGGGUGCGAGCGUUAUUCGGAAUUAUUGGGCGUAAAGGGCGCGUAGGCGGCCGAAAAAGUCAGUUGUGAAAUCCCGGGGCUUAACCCCGGAAGUGCGAUUGAAACUGUUUGGCUUGAGUAUGGGAGAGGGAAGUGGAAUUCCUGGUGUAGAGGUGAAAUUCGUAGAUAUCAGGAGGAACACCGGUGGCGAAGGCGACUUCCUGGACCAAUACUGACGCUGAUGCGCGAAGGCGUGGGUAGCAAACAGGAUUAGAUACCCUGGUAGUCCACGCAGUAAACGGUGAUCACUAGGUGUAGCGGGUAUUGACCCCUGCUGUGCCGCAGCUAACGCAUUAAGUGAUCCGCCUGGGGAGUACGGCCGCAAGGUUAAAACUCAAAGGAAUUGACGGGGGCCCGCACAAGCGGUGGAGCAUGUGGUUUAAUUCGACGCAACGCGAAGAACCUUACCUGGUCUUGACAUCCCGGGAAUUUUCUGGAAACAGGAAAGUGCCUCGCAAGAGGAGCCUGGUGACAGGUGCUGCAUGGCUGUCGUCAGCUCGUGUCGUGAGAUGUUGGGUUAAGUCCCGCAACGAGCGCAACCCUUAUCUUUAGUUGCCAUCAUUGAGUUGGGCACUCUAAAGAGACUGCCGGUGUCAAACCGGAGGAAGGUGGGGAUGACGUCAAGUCCUCAUGGCCUUUAUGACCAGGGCUACACACGUACUACAAUGGCCGGUACAAAGGGCAGCAACACAGCGAUGUGAAGCCAAUCCCGAAAAGCCGGUCUCAGUCCGGAUUGGAGUCUGCAACUCGACUCCAUGAAGUUGGAAUCGCUAGUAAUCGUGGAUCAGCACGCCACGGUGAAUACGUUCCCGGGCCUU